RNAcentral lists this ribosomal RNA (253 nucleotides) under uncultured bacterium. RNAcentral describes it as "partial 16S ribosomal RNA". It matches the Rfam family "Bacterial small subunit ribosomal RNA", at positions 524 to 776 of the family's 1533-position model. The record is from RNAcentral.
UACGUAGGGGGCAAGCGUUGUCCGGAUUUAUUGGGCGUAAAGAGCGUGUAGGCGGCUAGGUAGGUCCGUUGUGAAAACUCGAGGCUCAACCUCGAGACGUCGGUUGAAACCGUCUGGCUAGAGUCCGGAAGAGGAGAGUGGAAUUCCCGGUGUAGCGGUGAAAUGCGCAGAUAUCGGGAAGAACACCCGUGGCGAAGGCGGCUCUCUGGGACGGUACUGACGCUGAGACGCGAAAGCGUGGGGAGCGAACAGG